This 1250-nucleotide ribosomal RNA is filed under the name metagenome. RNAcentral's name for it is "bacterial LSU rRNA". It matches the Rfam family "Bacterial large subunit ribosomal RNA", at positions 1635 to 2874 of the family's 2925-position model. The record is from RNAcentral.
UACACGACCGUACCGCAAACCGACACUGGUGCGCGAGAUGAGUAUUCUAAGGCGCUUGAGAGAACUCAGGAGAAGGAACUCGGCAAAUUGACACCGUAACUUCGGAAGAAGGUGUGCCUUUAGUAGGUGAACCAUUUACUUGGGGAGCCCAAUGAGGCUGCAAAAAAUCGGUGGCUGCAACUGUUUAUUAAAAACACAGCACUCUGCUAAGACGAAAGUCGACGUAUAGGGUGUGACGCCUGCCCGGUGCUGGAAGAUUAAAUGAUGGGGUGCAAGCUCUUGAUUGAAGUCCCAGUAAACGGCGGCCGUAACAAUAACGGUCCUAAGGUAGCGAAAUUCCUUGUCGGGUAAGUUCCGACCUGCACGAAUGGCGUAAUGAUGGCCACACUGUCUCCUCCUGAGACUCAGCGAAGUUGAAAUGUUUGUGAUGAUGCAAUCUCCCCGCGGAAAGACGGAAAGACCCCAUGAACCUUUACUGUAGCUUUGUAUUGGACUUUGAACAGAUCUGUGUAGGAUAGGUGGGAGGCUUUGAAGUGUGGUCGCUAGAUCGCAUGGAGCCAACGUUGAAAUACCACCCUGGUGUGUUUGAGGUUCUAACCUAGGUCCAUUAUCUGGAUCGGGGACAGUGCAUGGUAGGCAGUUUGACUGGGGCGGUCUCCUCCCAAAGUGUAACGGAGGAGUUCGAAGGUACGCUAGGUACGGUCGGACAUCGUGCUAAUAGUGCAAUGGCAUAAGCGUGCUUAACUGCGAGACUGACAAGUCGAGCAGAUGCGAAAGCAGGACAUAGUGAUCCGGUGGUUCUGUAUGGAAGGGCCAUCGCUCAACGGAUAAAAGGCACUCUGGGGAUAACAGGCUGAUACCGCCCAAGAGUUCAUAUCGACGGCGGUGUUUGGCACCUCGAUGUCGGCUCAUCUCAUCCUGGGGCUGUAGCCGGUCCCAAGGGUAUGGCUGUUCGCCAUUUAAAGAGGUACGUGAGCUGGGUUUAAAACGUCGUGAGACAGUUUGGUCCCUAUCUUCCGUGGGCGCUGCAGAUUUGAGGAAGCCUGCUCCUAGUACGAGAGGACCGGAGUGGACGAACCUCUGGUGUAUCGGUUGUCACGCCAGUGGCAUUGCCGAGUAGCUAAGUUCGGAAGAGAUAACCGCUGAAAGCAUCUAAGCGGGAAACUCGUUUCAAGAUUAGAUCUGCCGGGGCCUUGAGCCCCCUAAAGAGUCGUUCAAGACCAGGACGUUGAUAGGUCAGGUGUGGAAGC